UUUAUUGGAGAGUUUGAUCCUGGCUCAGGACGAACGCUGGCGGCGUGCCUAAUACAUGCAAGUCGAGCGGAUCUGAGGGAGCUUGCUCCCUCAGAUUAGCGGCGGACGGGUGAGUAACACGUGGGCAACCUGCCUGUAAGACUGGGAUAACUUCGGGAAACCGGAGCUAAUACCGGAUAAUGCUUUUGAACUCAUGUUCGAAAGCUGAAAGAUGGU
This 216-nucleotide ribosomal RNA is filed under the name Bacillus yapensis. RNAcentral's name for it is "Bacillus sp. XXST-01 partial 16S ribosomal RNA". It matches the Rfam family "Bacterial small subunit ribosomal RNA", at positions 1 to 212 of the family's 1533-position model. Lineage: Bacteria; Bacillati; Bacillota; Bacilli; Caryophanales; Bacillaceae. The record is from RNAcentral.